RNAcentral lists this long non-coding RNA (984 nucleotides) under Ananas comosus (pineapple). RNAcentral describes it as "long non-coding RNA (ACOM_LNC039794)". Lineage: Eukaryota; Viridiplantae; Streptophyta; Magnoliopsida; Poales; Bromeliaceae. The record is from RNAcentral.
CUCAUUUCUUCGGACCCUUCAAUAUUUCUUCGAAAAUGUCAAAUCAAAUCCAACGGCCGAACAGAUCCAUGCCACCGUCAACAACUUCGCCGACGACAUCUACAGCAUCGCCGGGGAAGUAUCGCCAGAAGAGGGGAGGGGAAUCUUUGAUUUUUCGUUUCUUCGAACCCCAAAUCAAAUUAAAAAAUUAAAUCCAAAUUGUAGAAUCGAACGGAAAUUUCUUCGGAUCCGAAUCAAAUUGCAAAAUCAAAAGAGGAUUGCCUCGAACACGAAAUAGAAUUAAAAAGAAAAUCAAGUUCACAUACGAAUCCAAAUCCGAGUCACGUUCGCCUACAAACCUAUAUCAAAUCAAACCCAAACCUAACCCAAACCAAGUCCACAUAAGAACCCAAACCAAAUCUACAAAUAAACCCAAACCAAUCCAAACCAAGUCCACAAAAUAAACCCACAAAUAAACCCAAACCCAAAACCCAAAUAAACCUAAACCCAAAACCCAAAUAAACCCAAACUUGAACCCAAAUAAAUCCAAACCUAAACCAAGUCCACACAUAAAACCAAAACCCAAACCCAAAUCAAAUUCAAACCCAACCUGAACCAAAACCAAAUCUCAUGGACCAAAUUCCAUGAACCAAAGCCAAACCUCAUAGACCAAAUCCCAUGAACCAAAACCAAACCUCAUGGACCAAAUCCCAUGAACCAUAACCAAAUCUCAUGGACCAAAUCCCAUGAACCAAAACCAAAUUCAUGGACCAAAUCCUAUGAACCAUAACCAAACCUCAUGGACCAAAUCCCAUGAGCCACAACUAAACCUCAUGGACCAUAUCCCAUGAACCAAAAUCAAACCUCAUGGACCAAAUCUCAUGAACCAAAACCAAAUCUCAUGGACCAAAUCCCAUGAACCAAAACUAAACCUCAUGGACCAAAUCCCAUGAGCCACAACCAAACCUCAUGGACCAAAUCCCAUGAACCACAACUAAACCUCAU